CAAAACGACUCUCGGCAACGGAUAUCUCGGCUCUCGCAUCGAUGAAGAACGUAGCGAAAUGCGAUACUUGGUGUGAAUUGCAGAAUCCCGUGAACCAUCGAGUCUUUGAACGCAAGUUGCGCCCGAAGCCUUCGGGCCGAGGGCACGCCUGCCUGGGCGUCACGCAUCGCGUCGCCCCC
This 179-nucleotide ribosomal RNA is filed under the name Ruellia inflata. RNAcentral describes it as "5.8S ribosomal RNA". The stretch from base 7 to 162 matches the Rfam family "5.8S ribosomal RNA". From Rfam's summary of the family: 5.8S ribosomal RNA (5.8S rRNA) is a component of the large subunit of the eukaryotic ribosome. Lineage: Eukaryota; Viridiplantae; Streptophyta; Magnoliopsida; Lamiales; Acanthaceae. The record is from RNAcentral.